RNAcentral lists this ribosomal RNA (484 nucleotides) under uncultured bacterium. Its description in RNAcentral is "partial 16S ribosomal RNA". It matches the Rfam family "Bacterial small subunit ribosomal RNA", at positions 30 to 507 of the family's 1533-position model. The record is from RNAcentral.
AUUGAACGCUGGCGGCAGGCCUAACACAUGCAAGUCGAGCGGUAGAGAGAAGCUUGCUUCUCUUGAGAGCGGCGGACGGGUGAGUAAUGCCUAGGAAUCUGCCUGGUAGUGGGGGAUAACGUUCGGAAACGGACGCUAAUACCGCAUACGUCCUACGGGAGAAAGCAGGGGACCUUCGGGCCUUGCGCUAUCAGAUGAGCCUAGGUCGGAUUAGCUAGUUGGUGGGGUGAUGGCUCACCAAGGCGACGAUCCGUAACUGGUCUGAGAGGAUGAUCAGUCACACUGGAACUGAGACACGGUCCAGACUCCUACGGGAGGCAGCAGUGGGGAAUAUUGGACAAUGGGCGAAAGCCUGAUCCAGCCAUGCCGCGUGUGUGAAGAAGGUCUUCGGAUUGUAAAGCACUUUAAGUUGGGAGGAAGGGCAGUAAAUUAAUACUUUGCUGUUUUGACGUUACCGACAGAAUAAGCACCGGCUAACUCUGUG